RNAcentral lists this ribosomal RNA (535 nucleotides) under Escherichia coli. Its description in RNAcentral is "bacterial SSU rRNA". It matches the Rfam family "Bacterial small subunit ribosomal RNA", at positions 1010 to 1533 of the family's 1533-position model. The record is from RNAcentral. Lineage: Bacteria; Pseudomonadati; Pseudomonadota; Gammaproteobacteria; Enterobacterales; Enterobacteriaceae. RNAcentral also lists the same sequence under 2 other names.
GAAUGUGCCUUCGGGAACCGUGAGACAGGUGCUGCAUGGCUGUCGUCAGCUCGUGUUGUGAAAUGUUGGGUUAAGUCCCGCAACGAGCGCAACCCUUAUCCUUUGUUGCCAGCGGUCCGGCCGGGAACUCAAAGGAGACUGCCAGUGAUAAACUGGAGGAAGGUGGGGAUGACGUCAAGUCAUCAUGGCCCUUACGACCAGGGCUACACACGUGCUACAAUGGCGCAUACAAAGAGAAGCGACCUCGCGAGAGCAAGCGGACCUCAUAAAGUGCGUCGUAGUCCGGAUUGGAGUCUGCAACUCGACUCCAUGAAGUCGGAAUCGCUAGUAAUCGUGGAUCAGAAUGCCACGGUGAAUACGUUCCCGGGCCUUGUACACACCGCCCGUCACACCAUGGGAGUGGGUUGCAAAAGAAGUAGGUAGCUUAACCUUCGGGAGGGCGCUUACCACUUUGUGAUUCAUGACUGGGGUGAAGUCGUAACAAGGUAACCGUAGGGGAACCUGCGGUUGGAUCACCUCCUUACCUUAAAGAAGC